AGAGUUUGAUCCUGGCUCAGAACGAACGCUGGCGGCAGGCCUAACACAUGCAAGUCGAACGAUGCCUUCGGGCAUAGUGGCGCACGGGUGAGUAACACGUGGGAACAUACCUUUUGGUGGGGGAUAACUUCGGGAAACUGAAGCUAAUACCGCAUACGCCCCUUGGGGGAAAGAUUUAUCGCCGAAAGAUUGGCCCGCGUCCGAUUAGCUAGUUGGUGAGGUAAUGGCUCACCAAGGCUCCGAUCGGUAGCUGGUCUGAGAGGAUGACCAGCCACACUGGGACUGAGACACGGCCCAGACUCCUACGGGAGGCAGCAGUAGGGAAUCUUCCGCAAUGGACGAAAGUCUGACGGAGCAACGCCGCGUGAACGAUGAAGGCCUUCGGGUUGUAAAGUUCUGUCUUCUGGGACGAUAAUGACGUACCAGA
This 427-nucleotide ribosomal RNA is filed under the name uncultured bacterium. RNAcentral describes it as "bacterial SSU rRNA". It matches the Rfam family "Bacterial small subunit ribosomal RNA", at positions 8 to 463 of the family's 1533-position model. The record is from RNAcentral.